This 439-nucleotide ribosomal RNA is filed under the name uncultured bacterium. RNAcentral describes it as "bacterial SSU rRNA". It matches the Rfam family "Bacterial small subunit ribosomal RNA", at positions 29 to 514 of the family's 1533-position model. The record is from RNAcentral.
AACGAACGCUGGCGGCAUGCCUAACACAUGCAAGUCGAACGAACCCUUCGGGGUUAGUGGCGCACGGGUGCGUAACGCGUGGGAAUCUGCCCUUGGGUUCGGAAUAACAGUUAGAAAUGACUGCUAAUACCGGAUGAUGUCUUCGGACCAAAGAUUUAUCGCCCAGGGAUGAGCCCGCGUAGGAUUAGGUAGUUGGUGGGGUAAAGGCCUACCAAGCCGACGAUCCUUAGCUGGUCUGAGAGGAUGAUCAGCCACACUGGGACUGAGACACGGCCCAGACUCCUACGGGAGGCAGCAGUGGGGAAUAUUGGACAAUGGGCGCAAGCCUGAUCCAGCAAUGCCGCGUGAGUGAUGAAGGCCUCGGGUCGUAAAGCUCUUUACCCGGGUAUGAUAAUGACAGUACCGGGAGAAUAAGCUCCGGCUAACUCCGUGCCAGCAG